AUUGAGCGCUGGCGGCAGGCUUAACACAUGCAAGUCGAGCGGGGUGAUGGUGCUUGCACUAUCACUUAGCGGCGGACGGGUGAGUAAUGCUUAGGAAUCUGCCUAUUAGUGGGGGACAACAUCUCGAAAGGGAUGCUAAUACCGCAUACGUCCUACGGGAGAAAGCAGGGGAUCACUUGUGACCUUGCGCUAAUAGAUGAGCCUAAGCCGGAUUAGCUAGUUGGUGGGGUAAAGGCCUACCAAGGCGACGAUCUGUAGCGGGUCUGAGAGGAUGAUCCGCCACACUGGGACUGAGACACGGCCCAGACUCCUACGGGAGGCAGCAGUGGGGAAUAUUGGACAAUGGGGGGAACCCUGAUCCAGCCAUGCCGCGUGUGUGAAGAAGGCCUUAUGGUUGUAAAGCACUUUAAGUGAGGAGGAGGCUCUUUUGGUUAAUACCCAAGAUGAGUGGACGUUACUCGCAGAAUAAGCACCGGCUAACUCUGUGCCAGCCGCCGCAGUAA
RNAcentral lists this ribosomal RNA (503 nucleotides) under uncultured bacterium. Its description in RNAcentral is "partial 16S ribosomal RNA". It matches the Rfam family "Bacterial small subunit ribosomal RNA", at positions 30 to 523 of the family's 1533-position model. The record is from RNAcentral.